GAACCCGGAAGUCAAACCCAAUGUCGCUACUGUGUUACUAAGGUGCGAGAGCCCUUGGGAAGCAGUAGUGCUGGCGCCU
Molecule: ribosomal RNA, 79 nt
Filed under: Nitrososphaerota archaeon
Lineage: Archaea; Thermoproteati; Nitrososphaerota
Source: RNAcentral